This 495-nucleotide ribosomal RNA is filed under the name uncultured bacterium. Its description in RNAcentral is "bacterial SSU rRNA". It matches the Rfam family "Bacterial small subunit ribosomal RNA", at positions 32 to 502 of the family's 1533-position model. The record is from RNAcentral.
AAUCAACGCUGGCGGCGUGCCUCAGACAUGCAAGUCGAACGCGAAAGGUUCCUUCGGGAACCCGGUAGAGUGGCGCACGGGUGAGUAACACGUGGGUAAUUUGCCUUCGGGUGGGGAAUAACAGUCGGAAACGGCUGCUAAUACCGCAUAAUGCUGCGGCAUCAUAAGAUGACAGUUGUUAAAGCGGGGGAUCGUAAGACCUCGCGCCUGAAGAGAAGCCCGCGGCGGAUUAGGUAGUUGGGAGGUAAUGGCUCACCAAGCCCGCGAUCCGUAACCGGCCUGAGAGGGGCGGUCGGUCACACUGACACUGACAUACGGGUCAGACUCCUACGGGGGGCAGCAGUCGGGAAUUUUGGGCAAUGGGCGCAAGCCUGACCCAGCAACGCCGCGUGAAGGAUGAAGCAUUUCGGUGUGUAAACUUCACAAGAAUGGGAAGAAUAAGUUAAGGCGAAUACCCUUGACGAUGACGGUACUAUUUGUAAGCUCCGGCUAACU